RNAcentral lists this ribosomal RNA (1917 nucleotides) under Triticum aestivum (bread wheat). RNAcentral describes it as "partial small subunit ribosomal RNA". Lineage: Eukaryota; Viridiplantae; Streptophyta; Magnoliopsida; Poales; Poaceae. The record is from RNAcentral.
AUGGUCCUCCUCGGCGGACCGCGGCGGAGCGGCCGAGCAUCUGGAGACCGGAACGAGAAGCGGCAGCUCCAGGGCUUGGGAAAUGAAGAGCUAGACUCCUUCUCGGAGGAGGUUCAACGCCGGCCAGAGGUAAAGAUCGUUAACAAGUAUGUGGUGGUCAUGGCAUUCAUCCGUAUUGGCCUCAGAGGCGUCGGCGCCGUGGCGCUCUUGUGGGCCACCGUCGUCCUUCUCGGCGGCUUCGUCUCCGAUCUGAAGGGGUUCGAUUUUCGGAAUCUGACAAUCAUCGCAUUCGUGCAGGCUGCCGGGCUAUUGGACACGAUGGGAGAUGCUCGCUUUGAGUUCUUUCGCGAAUGGCUUCUUUCCCUUCUAUUGAACAAUGAAUCUUGGGGAGAAAAAUAUAAUAUCCAGAUGCCUAUGGGACAAUGGGGCUUCGACAGACAAACACGCAUAUUCAUAUCAAAAAUAAUAGACAUCAUUUUGAUCGUGAUAUUUUUGCCAGUGGUGUACUUCGCUCUUGCUGGACCAGUUCUAUGCUUUGCGCUAUCGGCGGCUCGCGUAGAAAAGCAAGAUUAUGGCAUCGCCGAUGGAGAUGCAACCAAAGCAAGUAUGAAGCCGGCACUGAACCUAUUCUACUACGUAUCGAUUGUUCACAGUGCAAUUUAUGUGGCGUACAUGAUAACCGAAUGGAUUGCUGAUGAAGUGUUGGUGUGGAGAGUUAGCCAGCUACAUGGCUUCAGCCCUGAAAUACUUGGUGGAUACCUGCAGGAGACCAAGCAGAUGUGUGCAACCAACCCCGGGUCCACGAAGAGCUGGAAUUUGAUCACGUAUGGUGCAGGCCUGCUGGAUUCCCAGUUACCGGAGGACUAUGCGUCCGGAGGAAGGGCACUGACAAUGCUGAUUGAUCAGGGCAUACCGGUAGUACAGAUAACACAGCUGCUUAUUACAUCACCGAGACAGAGAAUUCAGAAGCUGAUCGGAAGUCUUGCUUGGAGAAGCCCGGCCGAACGGGAGAUGAGAUGGCUCGCGGCGAGGAUAGUGGAGCAUAUCGCUGGCCACCUCAACCUCGCUCAGUUUCCAGGCGCAUUAGAAUGCAUAUCCUCCCUCCUUGAGAGCUCCUACGGUGAUCAAGAAGCUCUCCAUUUGCCUUUUGUAAUUGGGCGUAGCAAGCAGAGGAACAGGAGAAGUUGGAUAAAGCGACUUUUAGCGCAGGAAGAUAAAUAUGGUAACCUGAAAGUUCCGGAAAGCCCCUUCGGGAUCAUGUUUGGCUCCUCGCUCAAACUGAUUCGCAAGAUACAUGGUGCUUCGGAGAAUGAUGGCGCCCUAGAGCAACACAGCGAGAACGGUGAAGCAACUGACGAGGAUCUGGUUUUGCCAGGCUUGAGAAUUCUAGAGAAGUUGGCUCACGAUAGGCAUAACUGCACACUGAUAUUCAACACCCAGGAUCUCCUCUCAAAAUUAGUUGCGCCUGUCAGCUCCGACAACCUUGUGCAAGAUAUCAAGGGCAACGCUGGGUGGACAAAGGUAGUAGACGGAUCACUGAAAGUGGUGAGCAGGCUCAUGUGUUCGCGUGGAAGCACCGGCGAAGGGAUGUGCAGCCUAAUUGCAGGCGAUCAAUAUGCAGCCAACAACUUGGUGGCUGUUCUGAACAUGGAUAGGAAGUGUAACAGCAGCAAAAUCAUGGAAUCCGAUGGUUCAUCGGUCGAGGAGUAUGGACCGACAGAGCUUGAUGAAAUGAUUCAAAAGGAGUAUGGAUCGGCAGAGCUUGAUGAGAUGAUUCAAAAUGAGUUCUUCGAUUCAUUGGAUUCUGACGAAGAAGUCGAGAUGAUGAUGCUCAUGAGCAUCAAUGGACCGGGAGAUGGAGCACAUGCUCAACUUCAAGGGCUCAAUCAAAGGGAGAAGAGUUCUGAACUGGGAUAG